RNAcentral lists this ribosomal RNA (253 nucleotides) under uncultured bacterium. Its description in RNAcentral is "partial 16S ribosomal RNA". It matches the Rfam family "Bacterial small subunit ribosomal RNA", at positions 524 to 776 of the family's 1533-position model. The record is from RNAcentral.
CACGGGGGGAGCAAGCGUUGUUCGGAAUCACUGGGCGUAAAGGGCGUGCAGGCGGUCAGGUAAGUGGGAUGUGAAAUGCCCCGGCUCACCCGGGGACCGGCAUCUCAUACUGCUUGGCUUGAGUACGGGAGAGGAUGUGGGAAUUCCUGGUGUAGCGGUGAAAUGCGUAGAUAUCAGGAGGAACACCUGCGGUGUAGACGGCUUACUGGACCAUAACUGACGCUGAGGCACGAAAGCGUGGGUAGCAAACAGG